GACCUCGGAUCAGUAGGGAUACCCGCUGACUAAGC
RNAcentral lists this ribosomal RNA (35 nucleotides) under Umbilicaria josiae. Its description in RNAcentral is "partial 28S ribosomal RNA". Lineage: Eukaryota; Fungi; Ascomycota; Lecanoromycetes; Umbilicariales; Umbilicariaceae. The record is from RNAcentral.